GCCACCGUGGCUCAGCUGGCAGAGCGUUCGCUUGGUAAGCGAGAGGCCCCGGGUUCAAAUCCCGGCGGUGGCA
RNAcentral lists this transfer RNA (73 nucleotides) under Nanobdella aerobiophila. RNAcentral describes it as "tRNA-Thr". It matches the Rfam family "tRNA". Rfam says of the family: Transfer RNA (tRNA) molecules are approximately 80 nucleotides in length. Their secondary structure includes four short double-helical elements and three loops (D, anti-codon, and T loops). Lineage: Archaea; Nanobdellati; Nanobdellota; Nanobdellia; Nanobdellales; Nanobdellaceae. The record is from RNAcentral.